RNAcentral lists this long non-coding RNA (285 nucleotides) under Bos taurus (domestic cattle). RNAcentral describes it as "long non-coding RNA NONBTAT017549". Lineage: Eukaryota; Metazoa; Chordata; Mammalia; Artiodactyla; Bovidae. The record is from RNAcentral.
GAACUGGUGUAAAUUGUUAAUGCAUAUAAGCUUGUGUAUUUUUGUAAAUAGUUUGUGAUUUAUUUCUUGACUCAUAUGUAAAUAUUUAGAGUCUCAUUUCUUCAAAGCUUAUUUGAAGCUGAGUUGUGGGUUUGGGGUUUUGUUCGUUUGUUCCUUUGUUUGUUUUGGUUGGGGUGGGGGGUGGGGAGAGAAGGGAUUUUGUAUUCUGAUAAUCCAGACGGAGAUAUCUUGUGGUUUAAAGCAAAUGUCCCACUGAAAGCAAUUCAAAUAUCAAGAAAAUUAUUU